UGGUGCCCAGGGGCGGAAUCGAACCACCGACACGGGGAUUUUCAGUCCCCUGCUCUACCAACUGAGCUACCUGGGC
This 76-nucleotide transfer RNA is filed under the name Nitrospirillum viridazoti Y2. Its description in RNAcentral is "Nitrospirillum amazonense Y2 tRNA-Phe". Lineage: Bacteria; Pseudomonadati; Pseudomonadota; Alphaproteobacteria; Rhodospirillales; Azospirillaceae. The record is from RNAcentral.